Molecule: ribosomal RNA, 305 nt
Filed under: uncultured bacterium
Lineage: Bacteria
Description: bacterial SSU rRNA
Rfam family: Bacterial small subunit ribosomal RNA
Source: RNAcentral
GCCUCCCUACGGGACGCAGCAGUAGGGAAUCUUCCACAAUGGGCGAAAGCCUGAUGGAGCGACGCCGCGUGAGCGGUGAAGUAUUUCGGUAUGUAAAGCUCUAUCAGCAGGGAAGAAAAUGACGGUACCUGACUAAGAAGCCCCGGCUAACUACGUGCCAGCAGCCGCGGUAAUACGUAGGGGGCAAGCGUUAUCCGGAUUUACUGGGUGUAAAGGGAGCGUAGACGGUCCUGCAAGCCAGAUGUGAAAGCCCGGGGCUCAACCCCGGGACUGCAUUUGGUACUGUAACGCUAGAGUGUCGGAGA